AUCGAAUUGGACAUGUAUUUGUGGCUUUGGAAACAAACUGAUAUGUUCUGAUCGCCUACAGUCUGCAAAACGGUGUUGCUGAUUAGUCUGAACCCGAGGAGAGUACUAGCUAGCAAAAUGAUUAUGGAAAAGCAAUGGGGGAAGGGAGAACUGUAGAUUCAAUACCUGAAUCUUUGUCUGAAGAAGUAUUCAAACAAGGUGUUUUUGAUGGAUUUCAGUUAUUGGAAAAUUCAGAAAAGAACGGUGUAUGUGAAGCUUCUGGAACCUAUUCAGGAUCUUGUUUGGAUCCAGCCACAGGUAAAAUUUAAGAGCAGUUUGUUCUCUUUCCAGCAAUGGCUUAGUUCUUUCACACCAGAUUUUGUGAAUAUGUUUAUUUGACCACUUCCUUUCCCUGGUCUGAACUCUUAGUCAAACCUUUUAUGUUACAGCAGAAAUUUUUGAAUCAUUAAGUCAAUAGCAAAAGGUAAACUUCUUUAGAAAUGCUUCCUCUACUUCUCAUAAACUUGUGAUAUGCAUGUAAGAACAUAUCCAUGAAACCAAUAAUUCAGCAGGUGGUAUUGUUAUCCUUCUAUUCAGAGGAAGCUUCUUGUAAGUUGAAAUUGGAGCAGAAAGAUUCUGCAGAACUGCAGAAGUAUUGUGUAAGGUGUAAGACUCGUGGAAUUUUUCUACAUUAAGAUUGAAUUGCUGCUAGAGUGACAGGACAAGCACAAUUAGGUUGGUCACGGAUGUGUAUUUGUUCAGAGCGUACUGUGUGCAAAUUGUAUGGGCUCUUCAAAAGGCCUAUUUGUUUUUGUUGGCUUCGGGAUGUGGCUAUGGAGAGGACUAUUCUCCAUUUCCAACAAAGCUGAUAAAGCCAAAUGAAUUCUAGUGGCAGAGCUAGUAAUGUUCUCUUGAAUUGGAUUCUGGUGCUGAGAGAGCCCUUGAAUAGUAAUCUUCGAUUUGAAAUACUCAUGGUUGGAUGAAUGGUGCGUUCAAAGUUCAAACCGGCCAGAGAUCUACCCUCCUGGUCGUCAUCGACAAAGACGGGCUUCUUGCCUUCUACAACACCUACCGGUGCCUCAUCCCUAGAGACGUCGGUUCAAAUUCAUCGCUCUUCCAUUGUUGUUUUUCUUGACUCCGGAUUGUGGCU
Molecule: long non-coding RNA, 1129 nt
Organism: Panicum hallii
Lineage: Eukaryota; Viridiplantae; Streptophyta; Magnoliopsida; Poales; Poaceae
Exons: 3
Source: RefSeq, a predicted model, not a curated record